Molecule: ribosomal RNA, 398 nt
Filed under: uncultured bacterium
Lineage: Bacteria
Description: partial 16S ribosomal RNA
Rfam family: Bacterial small subunit ribosomal RNA
Source: RNAcentral
CCUACGGGUGGCAGCAGUGAGGAAUAUUGGUCAAUGGACGAGAGUCUGAACCAGCCAAGUAGCGUGAAGGAUGACUGUCCUAUGCAUUGUAAACUUCUUUUAUAUGGGAAUAAAACCAGGCAUGCAUGCCUUCCUGUGUGUACCAUAUGAAUAAGCAUCGGCUAACUCCGUGCCAGCAGCCGCGGUAAUACGGAGGAUCCGAGCGUUAUCCGGAUUUAUUGGGUUUAAAGGGAGCGUAGGUGGAGUGUUAAGUCAGUUGUGAAAGUUUGCGGCUCAACCGUAAAAUUGCAGUUGAAACUGGCAGUCUUGAGUAGAGGAGAGGUAGGCGGAAUGCGUGGUGUAGCGGUGAAAUGCUUAGAUAUCACGAAGAACUCCGAUUGCGAAGGCAGCACACCGGA